Molecule: long non-coding RNA, 347 nt
Filed under: Rhinopithecus bieti (black snub-nosed monkey)
Lineage: Eukaryota; Metazoa; Chordata; Mammalia; Primates; Cercopithecidae
Description: lncRNA (ENSRBIG00000045729.1)
Source: RNAcentral
UGUGCUAUUACUAUACAAUUUUAUUAUGAAUUCAUAGUAUGUUCAUACAUUUGCUUAGUCAUUUGUCUGUUUUAGGCACCGUGUGAAGUUCUGGGCAUAUAACAGGAAACAAGAAAGAUAAGGCCCUUGCUUACAUAGAACUUGGUGAAGAAUCUAGACCGUAAAAAGCACACAGGGAAAAUGUAUCACAAAUUGUGCUAAAGUUCUGUAAAAGGAUUAAGAUGGAGUGUCACAAGACUGAAUUAGACAGAGUGCCCUUGAAAGAGACUGACUACCAGUGCAUGUGGAUGGACAAUUUCUUGAUAAAAUGGAUGACUCACUGUGCUGAAGAACAAAGAAAAAAAUAG